This is a long non-coding RNA of Musca domestica (house fly), 1005 nucleotides long. RefSeq lists it as uncharacterized. The record is from RefSeq and is a predicted model, not a curated record. The transcript is spliced from 2 exons. NCBI's taxonomy places the organism in Eukaryota, Metazoa, Arthropoda, Insecta, Diptera, Muscidae.
GAAAAUCAGAUUUUGUUGGUGCGCUAUAGAAAAAACAACAUUUUUAUUUCGUUUGCCAAAAUCGACAAUUUGGAAAAAGUCGGCAUUUAACAACGGUACAAAAUUAAGUUUUAUUGACGGGUUUAUACGGCUGCGUGCCUUGCAUUUAUUUUUAUAUUGGAUGAAUAAAAAUCAUAGAUAUUCCAUCAGAUUGCGAGCCAUUGCGAGGCCUUCCAACGGUUUACGCGGAAGGUCGCCUUGUUUAAACCAGCCAUAUGCCAUAGAAAAAUUUGUUUCGACAUCUAAGUUGCAGAAAGCCAGCAGAUUGAUGCGACAGUGUCCGUUGUGCCAGAAAAGAGCCAUAUAAUUUCCGCCGACAUAAGUUCCCACAAGCCAAUUAAGUAUCUGGCCAACCAGGUAACGAAGAUAAAAAAAAAAAAAAUUUUUUAAUAGUUACCUCAUGUUAAGUGGAACCGGCACCGUAGCGCUUUAUCGACGGGUGUGAGGCGACCGUUAAACAUCUGAAAUAAAUUAACAAGGAAAUUAAAAUAUUAAUAAUUGAUGUGACAUUAAGUCCACAAAAAAACUAACCUAAAAUCAAAAUUAAAAAAAAAAAAAGAGAAACUAUAGUAUUAAUAUAAUGUUUUAGAAAUAAGUUGUGUUGUUUAGGAGUUAAUAUUCGUUUAUGUUUUAAUUUAAGUAUUAUUAUUGUGAGGAGAAUUAAUGCCACGAAACUCGUUCGACGUGAGUGAAGGAACACCCUCAACGUUCAACUAGGUUUAGACGAAACGUUUUUUCUUUUAGACAGGUUAAAGAAAUGUCUAGCCCUACCUAAUCGAGCUCCAUUAGGCAGAAUACCUUAGAUUAGUAAAAAAAUAGCCCGAAUUGGCCGAAUACCUAGUGUGAAGAUUGUUGUCGUCCCGAAUAUUGACUCACAUUCCUCGUGUUGUCUGGUGUUAAUAAUCCAUUAAGAGACCAUGAUAAAAGCAAUGUUAAUAAAUGUAUAUGUUUGAAUGUUAAGAUUAA